Transfer RNA from Phytophthora nicotianae (black shank of tobacco agent), 72 nucleotides. It matches the Rfam family "tRNA". Rfam says of the family: Transfer RNA (tRNA) molecules are approximately 80 nucleotides in length. Their secondary structure includes four short double-helical elements and three loops (D, anti-codon, and T loops). The record is from Rfam. NCBI's taxonomy places the organism in Eukaryota, Oomycota, Peronosporomycetes, Peronosporales, Peronosporaceae.
AACGGUGUAGCUCAACUGGAAGAGCGCAAGGCUUCGGCCUUGAAGAUGCUUGUUCAAACCGGGCCACCGUUA